This 74-nucleotide transfer RNA is filed under the name Micromonospora sp. AKA38. RNAcentral's name for it is "tRNA-Arg". The record is from RNAcentral. Lineage: Bacteria; Bacillati; Actinomycetota; Actinomycetes; Micromonosporales; Micromonosporaceae.
GCGUGCUGGUCGAGGCGUGCGACGGCGCGGGCCGGGUGCGCGGGCUGCUCUCGUUCAGCCCGUGGGGCACGCAC